This 253-nucleotide ribosomal RNA is filed under the name uncultured bacterium. RNAcentral describes it as "partial 16S ribosomal RNA". It matches the Rfam family "Bacterial small subunit ribosomal RNA", at positions 524 to 776 of the family's 1533-position model. The record is from RNAcentral.
UACGUAGGGCGCAAGCGUUAUCCGGAAUUAUUGGGCGUAAAGAGCUCGUAGGCGGUUUGACGCGUCUGCCGUGAAAGCCCGGGGCUCAACUCCGGAUCUGCGGUGGGUACGGGCAGACUAGAGUGAUGUAGGGGAGACUGGAAUUCCUGGUGUAGCGGUGAAAUGCGCAGAUAUCAGGAGGAACACCGAUGGCGAAGGCAGGUCUCUGGGCAUUAACUGACGCUGAGGAGCGAAAGCAUGGGGAGCGAACAGG